Molecule: transfer RNA, 76 nt
Filed under: Saccharopolyspora rosea
Lineage: Bacteria; Bacillati; Actinomycetota; Actinomycetes; Pseudonocardiales; Pseudonocardiaceae
Also listed under: 2 other names
Description: tRNA-Thr
Rfam family: tRNA
About the family: Transfer RNA (tRNA) molecules are approximately 80 nucleotides in length.
Source: RNAcentral
GCCGCUGUAGCUCAGUUGGUAGAGCGCCCGCCUUGUAAGCGGAUGGUCAGGGGUUCGAGUCCCCUCAGCGGCUCCA